UGGUGAACCUUGAAGUGAUCUCAACCAUUUUCCUGGGAAGUCACCACCAAUGGAUUAGAUCAGAGGUCAAAAGAUUGAAACUGAAUUGAAGAUGGGCACCUGCUCCCAGCUGCUCCAGGCAGGGGCUGCUUGCACAGAAAGACAGUGGUCAGCUUUGGCACAGCCACCUCAGGUACUUAUCAGGAGGCCACCAGCUGCUUCAGGCCACAUCUUACCUCCUCACCAACCACAGAGGAAAGAGGCUGAAUGGCAGUAAUAGUUUUGAGAUGCUUCCUCACAUAUAUUUUCC
RNAcentral lists this long non-coding RNA (289 nucleotides) under Bos grunniens (domestic yak). RNAcentral describes it as "lncRNA (ENSBGRG00000001291.1)". Lineage: Eukaryota; Metazoa; Chordata; Mammalia; Artiodactyla; Bovidae. The record is from RNAcentral.